AGUGGCGCACGGGUGCGUAACGCGUAUGCAACCUACCUUAAUCAGGGGGAUAGCCCGAAGAAAUUCGGAUUAACACCGCAUAAAAACACAGGAUAGCAUUAUCCAAUGUUCAAAUAUUUAUAGGAUUAAGAUGGGCAUGCGUGUCAUUAGCUAGUUGGCGGGGUAACGGCCCACCAAGGCGACGAUGACUAGGGGAUCUGAGAGGAUGACCCCCCACACUGGUACUGAGACACGGACCAGACUCCUACGGGAGGCAGCAGUAAGGAAUAUUGGUCAAUGGAGGCAACUCUGAACCAGCCAUGCCGCGUGCAGGAAGACAGCCCUCUGGGUCGUAAACUGCUUUUAUUCGGGAAUAAACCACAUUACGAGUAGUGUGCUGAAUGUACCGAAGGAAUAAGGAUCGGCUAACUCCGUGCCAGCAGCCGCGGUAAUACGGAGGAUCCAAGCGUUAUCCGGAUUUAUUGGGUUUAAAGGGUGCGUAGGCGGCUUAUUAAGUCAGGGGUGAAAGACGGUGGCUCAACCAUCGCAGUGCCCUUGAUACUGAUGAGCUUGAAUACACUAGAGGUAGGCGGAAUGUGACAAGUAGCGGUGAAAUGCAUAGAUAUGUCACAGAACACCGAUUGCGAAGGCAGCUUACUAUGGUGUGAUUGACGCUGAGGCACGAAAGCGUGGGGAUCAAACAGGAUUAGAUACCCUGGUAGUCCACGCCCUAAACGAUGAAUACUCGCUGUUAGCGAUACACAGUUAGCGGCUAAGCGAAAGCGUUAAGUAUUCCACCUGGGGGAGUACGCCCGCAAGGGUGAAACUCAAAKGAAUUGACGGGGGCCCGCACAAGCGGAGGAGCAUGUGGUUUAAUUCGAUGAUACGCGAGGAACCUUACCCGGGCUUGAAAGUUAGUGAAUCAUUUAGAGAUAGAUGAGUGAGCAAUCACACGAAACUAGGUGCUGCAUGGCUGUCGUCAGCUCGUGCCGUGAGGUGUUGGGUUAAGUCCCGCAACGAGCGCAACCCCUAUGUUUAGUUGCCAGCACGUUAAGGUGGGGACUCUAAACAGACUGCCUGUGCAAACAGAGAGGAAGGAGGGGACGACGUCAAGUCAUCAUGGCCCUUACGUCCGGGGCUACACACGUGCUACAAUGGAUGGUACAGAGGGCAGCUAGCUGGUAACAGUAUGCGAAUCUCACAAAGCCAUUCACAGUUCGGAUAGAGGUCUGCAACUCGACCUCUUGAAGUUGGAUUCGCUAGUAAUCGCGUAUCAGCAAUGACGCGGUGAAUACGUUCCCGGGCCUUGUACACACCGCCCGUCAAGCCAUGGAAGUUGGGGGUACCUAAAGUAUGUAACCGCAAGGAGCGUCCUAGGGUAAAACCGAUAACUGGGGCUAAG
RNAcentral lists this ribosomal RNA (1381 nucleotides) under Pedobacter sp. A12.4. Its description in RNAcentral is "16S ribosomal RNA". It matches the Rfam family "Bacterial small subunit ribosomal RNA". Lineage: Bacteria; Pseudomonadati; Bacteroidota; Sphingobacteriia; Sphingobacteriales; Sphingobacteriaceae. The record is from RNAcentral.